AUAAAGGGAUUUUGAAUAGAGGCCUUGAAACUAGUGAAACUCUGACAUUGAAAAAGUACUAUGAACUACUUGUUGCACCUCUUAGCCUUUGACCUUUGACCUUUGACCUUUUUCCAUUUCUCCUUACUUUUAAACAUCCUAAGCAUUUGCCCUUGUAGCUUCAUUAAUUGACUUGUCAAGCUUCUUUCUCUUUACACUUACUUUAUCUCUAAUACCAUUAUUACUAGGAUCAUCAUCAAGAUUUAAAACAUCAUUCCUAGUAGUUCUCCUAGUCUUACUAAUAUUUUCAUAACAUGAGCAAAAAAUUUUCGGUUCGACACAAUGUCAUGAAGGAGGCCCCCUUUAAGCCUUGCUUUCAUUUUAGAAGAAAUUUGUUCCAAUUUGGUUUUGAGUUUCUUAAUCGAGUUUGAAUGAAAAGUGACAGUUUUGUUGAGUUGUGAAAAUUCACUCUUUAUUUAUCAUAGAAUUUUAUCACUUCCUUUAACUCCCACAAGGACACGGGC
This 503-nucleotide long non-coding RNA is filed under the name Capsicum annuum. RNAcentral's name for it is "long non-coding RNA (CANN_LNC000965)". Lineage: Eukaryota; Viridiplantae; Streptophyta; Magnoliopsida; Solanales; Solanaceae. The record is from RNAcentral.